UUUUUCAAAGUGCUGCAUUUCAAUGCAACCAACUAAAUGCAUUUUUUAUGUGACAUUUAGGGACAUGUAAAUCUAAAAUGAGAAGUUUCAAAUUAAAUGCAAUGCAAUAUAAUUUGGGGUGAAAAUGUGCAUAAUCAAAAUAUGACCAGGAGAUAUAAAGCAGCCAUAAAGUCUUUUCCGCCUGUUCUGGUUUCAUCUAUAAAAUAUGUUACAUAUAAGCCAGAACAAGUGAACAAGACUUGUAAAAAAAAUCUAUAAAAUAUUUGAUGCAACUUUGGCAAAUCCAGCAACCAGUUCCUCUUCAGAAACACUCACAGUAACACCUGGGGACCUGUAAACAUGCCUUAAAUUUCCUGACAGACUGAUGAAAACCUGUGCAUCAUCAUUCCCAGAAAUUGCCUUAUUUUGUCCUUCUCUUGUCCUUUUCCUUUCUCUCACUUUUGUACCUCUCUUUGUAUCUGUACUUUCGGAGCGACUGUAAUUGAAUAACCUUUACGUCAAUAGAGUAACACUCUCUGCUCCUUCUCAAAGGGUCACGGAGACGAAACACAGCAUAUUGUGAACUCAUUGAAGGCUUUAUGAACUGUGACUGUUUCAAGGGAGUAGGGUUUCCCGUACGGACCAUAACUACAUAAAACAUACCAUAUGGGUUACCGUAAUCUACCAUGCAUCUCAACCUGUGAUGUGACGAUGGCCCAGAUCAGAUUAAAUCAGACAUGAUAUCUCGGGCCCUGGGCUUCACAGAUGAAGCAUGGGCUUAGAUCAGAUGUCCUCACAGUGCCAGCGCUUGGCUGCCAAACUCUGCGGCACCCAUCUGCCCUUUACAACAUGACCUCAUCGGCACGGCACGCCACUCACGUGUUUGAGAGGGACACGGUGAGUUCACUAGUCUAUAAUCAUCGUCUUACAGCACGCUCCAAACAUGCAUUGUAAAGCCGGAUAUUACUGGGAUGACUCAGUAAAUCUAUUGCUUUGAUUAGUUUAGUGCUCGAGAGAGACUGCCAGCAUGUUCUAGAUUCUCUGCUUCAAUCCCGGGACACUCAAAAGGGCUGCAACAUCUAAUUCAACAUCAUUUUAUCUAUUGAAAGGGAUUUCUGCACCACAAGCAGAUCAAAUGGCAUAUUGCUAAUAUAAUGACUGUUUCCAAACAGGUUUUCAAACAUGAAUCAGGAAGCGUAGUGAGUUGAAAUGAGCACUCAUUAGAGACAAUCAGUGUUAUUAUAGUAUAAUUUCAUAUAUAUUAUAGUAUUUAUUAAUAUUUGGAGUUUUUAUUUUAUUUUAUAAUAUCAGGUUUCAUUUUAGUUUACAUUUUAGUAAU
Long non-coding RNA from Carassius gibelio (silver crucian carp), 1318 nucleotides. RefSeq lists it as uncharacterized. The record is from RefSeq and is a predicted model, not a curated record. The transcript is spliced from 3 exons. Lineage: Eukaryota; Metazoa; Chordata; Actinopteri; Cypriniformes; Cyprinidae.